Molecule: ribosomal RNA, 492 nt
Filed under: uncultured bacterium
Lineage: Bacteria
Description: bacterial SSU rRNA
Rfam family: Bacterial small subunit ribosomal RNA
Source: RNAcentral
UGUGAACUGGAGACCUUGAGUUACAGGAGAGGGAAAGCCGAUUUACUUACGGUAUGCGGUUCCAUGCAUUGAUAUUUAGCAGUAACAACCAGUGGGCGAGCCGGCUUUUCUUGGACUUGUUACCUGACACUGAGGUACGAAUGUCGUGGGGGAGCCAAACCAUGAUUUAGAUAUCCUCGCUAGUUUACGCUGUAACGAUGAGCACUAGUUGUCGGCGUUCGCCACGAUCUUCGUUGCCGCAGUUGUCGCAUUAAGUGCUUCUCCCUGGGGAGUACGCACGCAAGUGUGAAACUCAAACGAAUUGACGGGGGCCCGCACAAGCAGCAGAGCAUGUGGUUUUAUUAGAAGCAACGCGAAGAACCUUACCUAGACUUGACAUCUCCUGAAUUACCCUUAACCGGGGAAGCCCUUCGGGGCAGGAAGACAGGUGGUGCAUGGUUGUCGUCAGCUCGUGUCGUGAGAUGUUGGGUUAAGUCCCGCAACGAGCGCAAC